CUUGGUCAUUUAGAGGAAGUAAAAGUCGUAACAAGGUUUCCGUAGGUGAACCUGCGGAAGGAUCAUUAUUGAAAGUCCUCGAUGGGUUGUUGCUGGCUCCUUUGGGCAUGUGCACACCUGUCUUGACUCCAUUCAUCCCCCUGUGCACAUUUUGUAGUCUUUUUUGGAGGGCUAAGGAAAUGGCAGUCAGUCGCAAGACUUGGAUUUGAGGUUUGCUUGGUGCAGAAGUACAGGCUCUCCUCUUGGCCAUAAAAACUCCUUCAGGGAGGGACUAUGAUUUUUUUAAAUCAUAAACUCAUAGCAUGUUGCCAGAAUGUAUUCAAUAUAGGCCUCUGUGUCUAUAGAAAGCAUAUACAUACAACUUUCAGCAACGGAUCUCUUGGCUCUCGCAUCGAUGAAGAACGCAGCGAAAUGCGAUAAGUAAUGUGAAUUGCAGAAUUCAGUGAAUCAUCGAAUCUUUGAACGCACCUUGCGCUCCUUGGUAUUCUGAGGAGCAUGCCUGUUUGAGUGUCAGUUGCUUCUCAUCCCCUCCAGCUUUUGUUUCUAAGCUUGGUUCUUGGGGUUUGGAUGUGGAGGUUUUUUGUUGGCCUUUUGCUAGGUCAACUCCUCUGAAAUGCAUUAGUGGAACUGUUUGCGAUCCAUCACAGGCAUGAUAAUCAAUCUAUGCCACUGGAUUGCUCUCUAUCUUGUUCAACUUCCAACUGUCCCAUUCUUUGUGGACAACCAUUACUGAACAUUUGACCUCAAAUCAGGUAGGAUUACCCGCUGAACUUAAGCAUAUCAAUAAGCGGAGGA
Molecule: ribosomal RNA, 795 nt
Filed under: uncultured fungus
Lineage: Eukaryota; Fungi
Description: eukaryotic LSU rRNA
Rfam family: 5.8S ribosomal RNA (bases 360-513)
Source: RNAcentral